This 295-nucleotide ribosomal RNA is filed under the name uncultured microorganism. Its description in RNAcentral is "partial 16S ribosomal RNA". It matches the Rfam family "Bacterial small subunit ribosomal RNA", at positions 505 to 796 of the family's 1533-position model. The record is from RNAcentral.
GUGCCAGCAGCCGCGGUAAUACGUAGGGCGCAAGCGUUGUCCGGAAUUAUUGGGCGUAAAGAGCUCGUAGGCGGUUUGUCGCGUUCUUGCUUGUGAAAGCCCGGGGCUCAACCCCGGGUCUGCAGUGGGUACGGGCAGACUAGAGUGCAGUAGGGGAGACUGGAAUUCCUGGUGUAGCGGUGAAAUGCGCAGAUAUCAGGAGGAACACCGAUGGCGAAGGCAGGUCUCUGGGCUGUUACUGACGCUGAGGAGCGAAAGCAUGGGGAGCGAACAGGAUUAGAUACCCUGGUAGUCC